This 73-nucleotide transfer RNA is filed under the name Deltaproteobacteria bacterium. RNAcentral's name for it is "tRNA-Pro". It matches the Rfam family "tRNA". Rfam says of the family: Transfer RNA (tRNA) molecules are approximately 80 nucleotides in length. Lineage: Bacteria; Pseudomonadati; Myxococcota; Myxococcia. The record is from RNAcentral.
CAGGGCGUAGCGCAGAGGCCAACGCGCGAGCUCGGGGAGCUCGAGAUCGGAGGUUCGAUUCCUCCCGCCCUGA